Doryrhamphus excisus (bluestripe pipefish) is the source of this 436-nucleotide non-coding RNA. NCBI's taxonomy places the organism in Eukaryota, Metazoa, Chordata, Actinopteri, Syngnathiformes, Syngnathidae. The record is from RefSeq and is a predicted model, not a curated record.
CCCUCUGCUGCUCCAGAAGACGCCUGCACGGGCGAUAGCAUUGUGUCCCUGUCCAAAGACCUGCCGGCUGCCCUAUUCCGCCAUGUCUUUAUCAUGCUAAUACAGCCAGAAGCAGGGAGGCGGGAGGAGAGGAACGAUGGCACCAUAAAUAGAGGAGAGGAUUUGUUCUACACAUUGGAUAUAUGACGUUUAAGAUAUCUGAGGGUCAAAACUCAGAUCAGCCUGCGCCGCUGAUCCAUGGAUGCUAAUGGGCCUUCCUGCUGCUUCCAUAGCACACACCAUUGCUGCUGCAGGAACACCCAGAGGCUCUCUUCAUGUUUGUUUUUGUUUUGAAAAAAAGGUACAAAUGAAAACUGAAAGAACAAUAUUUGUGUGUGUGAUACUCAUGUACAGUACACGUGUCCACGUGUGUAUGUGUGUGUGUAUGGAGAUGAUU